CCACCAGCUGCUCCCUGGGAGAAAGAUGUGACAGUCUGCUUCCAUGAAGAUUUACAGCCUUGGAAACCCUAUGAGUUGCAAUAGACUCAUUGUCAACAGCCAAGUUUAGCCCCACGGAAGGCAGAGACCAAUUGCUGCCUUCUGAGAAACUGAGAGCCGACGCGAGUUUGAUUUAGCUCAAGACGCUGAAACUUUCUGCCCUGAAGGCUGGUGUGGUGGAACUGACCUUCCCAUUGCUCACCAUAUUAUGAAAAAAACAUUAAAGCAACAAUUUUUAUUACUUGCCCUGGGUCUAGAGCUUUAAAAUGUACUUUCUUUUUCCCCCACCCUCCCUAAACCACUUAACUUUUAAAAACAAACAACCCAUUCAUGUGUUUGCUACAGUCAGAUUAUUAGAUCUCUCCCUUUAUCCCUGGGUCCUGUUUCUGUAGCCAAGUAGUAGGACUGGUAUACUUCUUGGUAUCUGCAGUUUUUCUUUAGUUACUAUUUUAUUCAGCAAAUAUUCAUUUCAAUAACCAUUUAUUGAGCGUGUACUAUGUGUCAGAUAAAGAUGAAUGAGAUACUCAGUUUAAGUAGCCUAUCUAGGAGAGUGACCCUUCCACAGAUUAUUGCACCACAGGGUGAUAUGGAAGUAGUAGUGGCUCAUUUUGAAGGCCGAGAGGACGGAGAAGGGCGUUCCAAGGAGGGGAAACUACAGGGGCUGGGAAAAGGAGGUGGGAUUGAACAUGCAUUCCCAGGGAGAGACGAGGGGUUCAGUUUGGCUGCAGUGGAGAGGUCUUGUGAGGCUGGGGUGAGAUAGUGACAGUCCUUGGAUGCCAUGGAAUUUAGACUUUAUUAUAGCCUAUAUAACCUUUUCUGGAGUUUUUUAAGGUGAAAUUUGUAAGUAGAAGAGUGAUGUGAUUGGCUUUUCUGUAGGGAAUAGCUCCAGCAAUGUGUUGAAGGAACUGGAGAGGGGAGAGCCAGGACUCCAGAAGAAAAUGAGGAGGCUGUUGCUAUAGUCCAAAUGGAAAACGAUAAGAGUCUAAACUAAAAAAUGCUUGAGAGAUAUUUUAGAGAGUAGAGAGGGCAGGAUUUAAUGACUGGCUGGAUAUGGGAAAUAAGGUUGAAAAUAAUUCUGAGGUUUCAGAAUUGCUUGACUGGGUGAAUGGAGGUGCCACUAAUGAGCAUAAUAAAUAUAAGAUGAGGAAGAGGUUUUG
This is a long non-coding RNA of Trichechus manatus latirostris (Florida manatee), 1196 nucleotides long. RefSeq lists it as uncharacterized. The transcript is spliced from 2 exons. Lineage: Eukaryota; Metazoa; Chordata; Mammalia; Sirenia; Trichechidae. The record is from RefSeq and is a predicted model, not a curated record.